UGCACUAAACUGGUAUCAUCUGCUGACAUUGAGUUUGGAGAAUGCUUAAAUCCAAGUGGUGGCCCACCAUUUCAAUGGUCUUGAUCAUUGUAGGCAUUUGCUGCAUGCACGAAUGUGGUAGAGAAAAGUAAAGAACAUCGAUUUACCGUUGUUAAUCUUGAGACUAAUUACAUGGGCAAAAUUGUCCAAUACUGCUGGUGUUAUAUGUUUUAGAUGUUUUCCCCCUUGCUUUUUGUGCUAGUAUCUUUGAUGGUAUUUGCAAGUUUGUUGCAAUACAAGGCUACAUCAUCUUCAUUAUACUAACUUAAGAAUUGUAUCUCAUGUAUUUGCAAAGAUGGCAUCAUAAUGAUGAAGUGUUGCACAUGCACUGUUUCUCUUUCCUCAUGCAAAUUGUUUAUGUUGCCCUGCAAGAUGGUGAUGUCAAAAUGGCAGAUGCCACAACAGCAAAGACCGAAAAGAAGGCGCCUAAAACAUCUGCAACUCCUAGUGCCUAGACUUCUAGAUCAAAAACCCUAUUUGUUGGCAACCUAUCCUAUUCAGUCGAAAGAGCUGAUGUAGAGGAAUUCUUCAAAGGUGCUGGUGAAGUUGUUGACACCCCAUUUGCAUCAAAUGAAGAGGGUGUCUUCAAGGGAUUUGGCCAUGUUGAGUUUGCCACUAAUGCAGCAGCUCACAAGGUAAGGGCCAUGUGUGCUGAAAUUGAUAUGGUUUUCUUGGUGCAUGUAUAUGUAGACGCCUGGUUUUUAUUUGUUGUUCCUUCACAUGGGUGAGGUUCCUUCUACUCGAUAGUUUCUUUCAUGUAUCAUAUAGCUUAGGCCAGAUGUGUGAACCUUCCAAUCAAUCCAUCCAUACAAUCUUUGGUAUGAAUCUAAUCACCUUGGCUUCCCUUUCA
Magnolia sinica is the source of this 889-nucleotide long non-coding RNA. RefSeq lists it as uncharacterized. The record is from RefSeq and is a predicted model, not a curated record. The transcript is spliced from 3 exons. Lineage: Eukaryota; Viridiplantae; Streptophyta; Magnoliopsida; Magnoliales; Magnoliaceae.